CACGUAGGGCGCAAGCGUUGUCCGGAAUUAUUGGGCGUAAAGAGCGUGUAGGCGGCCAGGUAGGUCCGUUGUGAAAACUCGAGGCUUAACCUCGAGACGUCGAUGGAAACCAUCUGGCUAGAGUCCGGAAGAGGAGAGUGGAAUUCCUGGUGUAGCGGUGAAAUGCGCAGAUAUCAGGAAGAACACCCGUGGCGAAGGCGGCUCUCUGGGACGUGACUGACGCUGAGACGCGAAAGCGUGGGGAGCAAACAGG
RNAcentral lists this ribosomal RNA (253 nucleotides) under uncultured bacterium. RNAcentral's name for it is "partial 16S ribosomal RNA". It matches the Rfam family "Bacterial small subunit ribosomal RNA", at positions 524 to 776 of the family's 1533-position model. The record is from RNAcentral.